ACGCUCGACACCUACGUGAGGCAGCAGUCGGGAAUAUUGCGCAAUGGAGGAAACUCUGACGCAGUGACGCCGCGUGCAGGAAGAAGGUUUUCGGAUUGUAAACUGCUUUAGACAGGGAAGAAAAAAGACAGUACCUGUAGAAUAAGCUCCGGCUAACUACGUGCUAGCACGCCGGACGGUAAUCUGAGGCGGCGUGGACGAAGGC
Molecule: ribosomal RNA, 205 nt
Filed under: uncultured bacterium
Lineage: Bacteria
Description: partial 16S ribosomal RNA
Rfam family: Bacterial small subunit ribosomal RNA
Source: RNAcentral